UACCGCUCCGGUAGCCUAGUCGUUAGCGAGUCCGCCUUGGAUGCGGGGGGUCCCGGGUUCGAACCCAGGCUGAGUAA
Molecule: non-coding RNA, 77 nt
Organism: Potamilus streckersoni
Lineage: Eukaryota; Metazoa; Mollusca; Bivalvia; Unionida; Unionidae
Source: the annotation of a GenBank genome assembly